This 231-nucleotide unclassified non-coding RNA is filed under the name uncultured fungus. Its description in RNAcentral is "partial contains 5.8S ribosomal RNA, internal transcribed spacer 2, and large subunit ribosomal RNA". The record is from RNAcentral. Lineage: Eukaryota; Fungi.
AACGCACAUUGCACCCCUAGGUAAUCCUUGGGGUAUACCUGUUCGAGCGCCGUUUGUGUCUAAGGCUCUGCCUUGCGUUGAUGGAUUCUUGCCCCGCGAGGGGCUCCGUCGAAACACAUCGGCGCCCGUCUUGGCCCCGAAACGCAGCGAAAUGCGCGAAAGGCCUCUGACGGGCGGCCAGUCUACGAAAAGCAUGGCCUCGGAUCAGGUAGGGAUACCCGCUGAACUUAA